Molecule: ribosomal RNA, 369 nt
Filed under: uncultured phototrophic eukaryote
Lineage: Eukaryota
Description: SSU rRNA
Rfam family: Bacterial small subunit ribosomal RNA
Source: RNAcentral
UACGGGGGAUGCAAGCGUUAUCCGGAAUCAUUGGGCGUAAAGCGCCUGUAGGUUGUUUAAUAAGUCUGUUGUUAAAGACUAGGGCUUAACCCUAGAAAAGCAAUGGAAACUACUAGACUAGAGUAUGGCAGGGGUAGAGGGAAUUUCUAGUGUAGCGGUGAAAUGCGUAGAUAUUAGAAAGAACACCGGUGGCGAAAGCGCUCUACUGGACCAUUACUGACACUCAGAGGCGAAAGCUAGGGUAGCAAAAGGGAUUAGAUACCCCUGUAGUCCUAGCCGUAAACGAUGGAUACUAGAUGUUGUAUUUAUUUUACAGUGUCCUAGCUAACGCGUUAAGUAUCCCGCCUGGGGAGUACGGCCGCAAGGCUA